This 644-nucleotide ribosomal RNA is filed under the name Ganoderma sp. 4 YD-2015. RNAcentral describes it as "eukaryotic LSU rRNA". The stretch from base 246 to 399 matches the Rfam family "5.8S ribosomal RNA". Lineage: Eukaryota; Fungi; Basidiomycota; Agaricomycetes; Polyporales; Polyporaceae. The record is from RNAcentral.
GUAACAAGGUUUCCGUAGGUGAACCUGCGGAAGGAUCAUUAUCGAGUUCUGACUGGGUUGUAGCUGGCCUUCCGAGGCAUGUGCACGCCCUGCUCAUCCACUCUACACCUGUGCACUUACUGUGGGUUUACGGGUCGUGAAACGGGCUCGUUUAUUCGGGCUUGUUGAGCGCACUUGUUGCCUGCGUUUAUCACAAACUCUAUAAAGUAUCAUAAUGUGUAUUGCGAUGUAACGCAUCUAUAUACAACUUUCAGCAACGGAUCUCUUGGCUCUCGCAUCGAUGAAGAACGCAGCGAAAUGCGAUAAGUAAUGUGAAUUGCAGAAUUCAGUGAAUCAUCGAAUCUUUGAACGCACCUUGCGCUCCUUGGUAUUCCGAGGAGCAUGCCUGUUUGAGUGUCAUGAAAUCUUCAAUCUACAAACUUCUUAUGGAGUUUGUAGGCUUGGACUUGGAGGCUUGUCGGUCCCUUUACAGGUCGGCUCCUCUUAAAUGCAUUAGCUUGGUUCCUUGCGGAUCGGCUUGUCGGUGUGAUAAUGUCUACGCCGCGACCGUGAAGCGUGUUUGGGCGAGCUUCUAACCGUCUCGUUACAGAGACAACUUUUAUGACCUCUGACCUCAAAUCAGGUAGGACUACCCGCUGAACUUA